RNAcentral lists this ribosomal RNA (495 nucleotides) under uncultured bacterium. RNAcentral's name for it is "partial 16S ribosomal RNA". It matches the Rfam family "Bacterial small subunit ribosomal RNA", at positions 28 to 507 of the family's 1533-position model. The record is from RNAcentral.
GACGAACGCUGGCGGCGUGCCUAAUACAUGCAAGUAGAACGCUGAAGGAGGAGCUUGCUUCUCCGGAUGAGUUGCGAACGGGUGAGUAACGCGUAGGUAACCUGCCUGGUAGCGGGGGAUAACUAUUGGAAACGAUAGCUAAUACCGCAUAAGAGUAGAUGUCGCAUGACAUUUGCUUAAAAGGUGCAACUGCACCACUACCAGAUGGACCUGCGUUGUAUUAGCUAGUUGGUGAGGUAACGGCUCACCAAGGCAACGAUACAUAGCCGACCUGAGAGGGUGAUCGGCCACACUGAGACUGAGACACGGCCCAGACUCCUACGGGAGGCAGCAGUAGGGAAUCUUCGGCAAUGGACGGAAGUCUGACCGAGCAACGCCGCGUGAGUGAAGAAGGUUUUCGGAUCGUAAAGCUCUGUUGUAAGAGAAGAACGAGUGUGAGAGUGGAAAGUUCACACUGUGACGGUAUCUUACCAGAAAGGGACGGCUAACUACGUG